GGGGAUAUAGUUUAUUGGUAGAAUGCUUGUCUGGCAUGCACAAAGCCCUGGGUUCAAUCUCCAGUAUCAAUA
This 72-nucleotide transfer RNA is filed under the name Ictidomys tridecemlineatus (thirteen-lined ground squirrel). Its description in RNAcentral is "Spermophilus tridecemlineatus (thirteen-lined ground squirrel) tRNA". It matches the Rfam family "tRNA". From Rfam's summary of the family: Transfer RNA (tRNA) molecules are approximately 80 nucleotides in length. Their secondary structure includes four short double-helical elements and three loops (D, anti-codon, and T loops). Lineage: Eukaryota; Metazoa; Chordata; Mammalia; Rodentia; Sciuridae. The record is from Rfam by way of RNAcentral.